Molecule: ribosomal RNA, 253 nt
Filed under: uncultured bacterium
Lineage: Bacteria
Description: partial 16S ribosomal RNA
Rfam family: Bacterial small subunit ribosomal RNA
Source: RNAcentral
UACGUAGGGUACAAGCGUUAAUCGGAAUUACUGGGCGUAAAGCGUGCGCAGGCGGUUCGGAAAGAAAGAUGUGAAAUCCCAGGGCUUAACCUUGGAACUGCAUUUUUAACUGUCGAACUCGAGUAUGUCAGAGGGGGGUAGAAUUCCGCGUGUAGCAGUGAAAUGCGUAGAUAUGCGGAGGAAUACCGAUGGCGAAGGCAGCCCCCUGGGAUAAUACUGACGCUCAUGCACGAAAGCGUGGGUAGCAAACAGG